This 424-nucleotide ribosomal RNA is filed under the name uncultured bacterium. RNAcentral's name for it is "partial 16S ribosomal RNA". It matches the Rfam family "Bacterial small subunit ribosomal RNA", at positions 360 to 776 of the family's 1533-position model. The record is from RNAcentral.
AAUAUUGGACAAUGGGCGAAAGCCUGAUCCAGCCAUGCCGCGUGUGUGAAGAUGGUCUUCGGAUUGUAAAGCACUUUAGGCUGGGAGGAAGGGGUGUGGGUUAAUACCCUGCAAUUUUGACGUUACCAACAGAUUAAGCACCUGCUAACUUCGUGCCCGCACCCGCCGUAAUAUGAAGGGUGAAAGCGUUAAGCGGAAUUACUGGGCGUGAAGCGCGAGUAGGUGGAUCCGUAAGGUGGAAGUGAAAGCCCCGGGCUUAACCUGGGAAUUGCUUUCAAAACUGACGAGCUAGAGUACGGUAGAGGGUAGUGGAAUUGCCUGUGUAGCGGUGAAAUGCGUAGAUAUAGGAAGGAACAUCAGUGGCGAAGGCGACUACCUGGACUGAUACUGACACUGAGGUGCGAAAGCGUGGGGAGCAAACAGG